AGUGAACGCUGGCGGUAGGCCUAACACAUGCAAGUCGAACGGCAGCACAGUAAGAGCUUGCUCUUACGGGUGGCGAGUGGCGGACGGGUGAGGAAUGCAUCGGAAUCUACUUUUUCGUGGGGGAUAACGUAGGGAAACUUACGCUAAUACCGCAUACGACCUACGGGUGAAAGCAGGGGAUCUUCGGACCUUGCGCGAUUGAAUGAGCCGAUGUCGGAUUAGCUAGUUGGCGGGGUAAAGGCCCACCAAGGCGACGAUCCGUAGCUGGUCUGAGAGGAUGAUCAGCCACACUGGAACUGAGACACGGUCCAGACUCCUACGGGAGGCAGCAGUGGGGAAUAUUGGACAAUGGGCGCAAGCCUGAUCCAGCCAUACCGCGUGGGUGAAGAAGGCCUUCGGGUUGCAAAGCCCUUUUGUUGGGAAAGAAAAGCAGCAGGUUAAUACCCCGCUGUUCUGACGGUACCCAAAGAAUAAGCACCGGCUAACUUCGCG
Molecule: ribosomal RNA, 492 nt
Filed under: uncultured bacterium
Lineage: Bacteria
Description: partial 16S ribosomal RNA
Rfam family: Bacterial small subunit ribosomal RNA
Source: RNAcentral